CAGCAGCCACGGUAAUACGAAGGGGGCUAGCGUUGCUCGGAAUUACUGGGCGUAAAGGGAGCGUAGGCGGGUCGUUUAGUCAGAGGUGAAAUCCCGGGGCUCAACCUCGGAACUGCCUUUGAUACUGGCGACCUUGAGUAUGGGAGAGGUAAGUGGAACUCCGAGUGUAGAGGUGAAAUUCGUAGAUAUUCGGAAGAACACCAGUGGCGAAGGCGACUUACUGGCCCAUUACUGACGCUGAGGCUCGAAAGCGUGGGGAGCAAACAGGAUUAGAUACCCCUGUAGUCCCUGUCUCUUAUAC
Molecule: ribosomal RNA, 301 nt
Filed under: uncultured bacterium
Lineage: Bacteria
Description: partial 16S ribosomal RNA
Rfam family: Bacterial small subunit ribosomal RNA
Source: RNAcentral